Long non-coding RNA from Equus caballus (horse), 1731 nucleotides. The record is from Ensembl. Lineage: Eukaryota; Metazoa; Chordata; Mammalia; Perissodactyla; Equidae.
CUCAAAUAAAUGCGGGGAUGCCUCGGCUCGGAGCAGUCGGCCGCCUCCCUCCGCGCGCUGGACGCUCCGCCGCCGGCCGCCCGCAGGUUCCCUCCUAGUGGCCACUGCCAACCCAGUUGAAGAAGUCCUCUCUAGGUGAUGCUGCAACUGCCUUGUGACUUAGGCCCUUCCCAACUCCCUGCUCUUUUGUUUGCUGACAGAGCACUCGCAGAGGUUGGACUCGCAAUCACAAACCCGAUGGCCAUCUCUCUGUGACCGUGGCAGUGGUAGAUAGCAUUCAUCAGCCUUUCCUUCUUGAAUUCUCUUUUCCCUCCUCUUUCAUGAUGAUGCAACUACUGACUUGCUUCUGAUUUUGUAACCACAUCCUUAACUAACUGCUCACGCUCCUUCUGUUCAUCCGCGAGAAGCCGCUCUGUGCAUCCAGAGUUCAGCUCUUUGCUCUGCCUUUCUCUUCACUAUUCUAUCUGAGAGGCUUCAUCUGCUAACUGCAGCCAUCAUCUUUGUGUGGACUCUCUGCUCAGCAUCUAGCCUCGUCUUCCUCCUGAGCUCUUUAGUCUUACUUCUUCAGCUGCUUGCCAGAUAUCGCUACCUCGAGGUUCCAUCAUUACCUCAUAUCCAGUGUUUCGAAGAAAGGAAGCCUUUCCCUCCCCCUCCCCUUCUAUAUUUCCUGAGGCACCAUAUUUACUGUCAGCUCUUCUUUCAUAACGUCUCCGUUUUGCCUCCUCACCUCCAACACUCUCACUCAGGCCCCUCUGUCUCACCAUCUUGCAGUGUUUCCCAGCAUAUUUUGCUCUGUGGAUUGGCAUCCGGAAAGUAUCCUGGAGCUGCUCUGUCCCUGUGCUCACUCCUUCUGUUUCCUGCAAGACAAAAUUCUAGACUUAUUUCUCCACCAUCCCCCAUCUGAUCUCAAACUACUAUUUCAGUCUCAUUUCUUGCCACGCAAACUGUGCACUAACCUCCUCACUGCCAACAUCUUCCCCCAAAGUUCUGAAUCUUCCUACUUCCCUCCUCACGCGGGUGAGGCAAGGCCUACCUAUGUUUCAGGACCCAGCUCACUGGAAGUCACGGAUGGGGACUCCAUUGUCUGAUGUUGUUAGCUUGGCACAUAGUGGAAAGACGACUCUGAGCUGGCUAGCCCUGUAAGGUGCGUGGCUUUAAACCACUGUUCAACCUCUCUUGUGCAUUUUAAAAUGGAGAUAAAACCAAUGCAGAUGUGCACUCUGGCUGGAUAAAUCUGAAUAUGCUUGGCCAUUGGAGCCCAUAACAAUUAACUUGUUAAUUUCAUCUGUAGGGUUUUCCUCUCUCUUGGAUGAGAAUAUAAGCAUUUUAGGGUUGGGGCUGUCUCACUUACCUCAUGGUUGUCAGUCCCCAGCACAGUGUUGAGAACAGAAAGUGUUCAGUAAAGAUUGUUGAGUAAAUGGAUCAUUUGUGAUCUUCUUCUCCCCACCCUGUCCUAAACCGCACCCGGCUCCCCCUCAGUCACGGGUGUAGAGAUGCCUGCAUGCUCACACACGUCAGCAGAUUUCCUGGGAGACGCCCACUUUCAAACACUCAGCCAUUUUUUCGCAGUAAGCGUACUUGUCAGAUUGGGUACUUGCAUUUCCUGGCUUAAAAAGUAUCAAUAACUGGGGCACACUUUUGGUUUGCAUGUACUGGAACUUUCUAGAUGACGUUGCUCACUGGCCUAGGCAACUUGGGGUGGGUGUGGGGACCCACAGGGAGGACUGGGUG